GGAUUGAGAGCUUGCUCUCAAGAAGUUAGCGGCGGACGGGUGAGUAACACGUGGGUAACCUGCCCAUAAGACUGGGAUAACUCCGGGAAACCGGGGCUAAUACCGGAUAACAUUUUGAACUGCAUGGUUCGAAAUUGAAAGGCGGCUUCGGCUGUCACUUAUGGAUGGACCCGCGUCGCAUUAGCUAGUUGGUGAGGUAACGGCUCACCAAGGCAACGAUGCGUAGCCGACCUGAGAGGGUGAUCGGCCACACUGGGACUGAGACACGGCCCAGACUCCUACGGGAGGCAGCAGUAGGGAAUCUUCCGCAAUGGACGAAAGUCUGACGGAGCAACGCCGCGUGAGUGAUGAAGGCUUUCGGGUCGUAAACUCUGUUGUUAGGGAAGAACAAGUGCUAGUUGAAUAAGCUGGCACCUUGACGGUACCUAACCAGAAAGCCACGGCUAACUACGUGCCAGCAGCCGCGGUAAUACGUAGGUGGCAAGCGUUAUCCGGAAUUAUUGGGCGUAAAGCGCGCGCAGGUGGUUUCUUAAGUCUGAUGUGAAAGCCCCGGCUCACCGUGGAGGUCAUUGGAAACUGGGAGACUUGAGUGCAGAAAGGAAAGUGGAUUCCAUGUGUAGCGGUGAAUGCGUAGAGAUAUGGAGGAACACCAGUGGCGAAGGCGACUUUCUGGUCUGUAACUGACCUGAGGCGCGAAGCGUGGGGAGCAACAGGAUAGAUACCUGGUAGUCCCGCCGUAACGAUGAUGCUA
Molecule: ribosomal RNA, 751 nt
Filed under: Bacillus sp. (in: firmicutes)
Lineage: Bacteria; Bacillati; Bacillota; Bacilli; Caryophanales; Bacillaceae
Description: bacterial SSU rRNA
Rfam family: Bacterial small subunit ribosomal RNA
Source: RNAcentral